UACAGAGGUCUCACGCGUUGUUCGGAUUCAUUGGGCGUAAAGGGUGCGUAGGCGGCGCGGUAAGUCGGGUGUGAAAUCUCGGAGCUUAACUCCGAAACUGCAUUCGAUACUGCCGUGCUUGAGGACUGGAGAGGAGACUGGAAUUUACGGUGUAGCGGUGAAAUGCGUAGAUAUCGUAAGGAAGACCAGUGGCGAAGGCGGGUCUCUGGACAGUUCCUGACGCUGAGGCACGAAGGUCAGGGGAGCAAACGGG
This 253-nucleotide ribosomal RNA is filed under the name uncultured bacterium. Its description in RNAcentral is "partial 16S ribosomal RNA". It matches the Rfam family "Bacterial small subunit ribosomal RNA", at positions 524 to 776 of the family's 1533-position model. The record is from RNAcentral.